AGCAGCCGCGGUAAUUCCAGCUCCAAUAGCGUAUAUUAAAGUUGUUGCAGUUAAAAAGCUCGUAGUUGAAUUUCGGGAUCAAUAUGUUGGUCGUGCCUCGGUACGUACUAGCAUAUUGGUUUCUCCCUUCUGACGAACCAUGAUGUCAUUUAUUUGGUGUCGUGGGAAAUCAGGACUGUUACUUUGAAAAAAUUAGAGUGUUUAAAGCAGGCUCACGCCUGAAUACAUUAGCAUGGAAUAAUGAAAUAGGACGUUUGAUUCUAUUUUGUUGGUUUCUAGGAUCGACGUAAUGAUUAAUAGGGAUAGUUGGGGGCAUUAGUAUUCAAUUGUCAGAGGUGAAAUUCUUGGAUUUAUUGAAGACUAACUACUGCGAAAGCAUUUGCCAAGGAUGUUUUCAUUAAUCAAGAACGAAAGUUAGGGGAUCGAAGACGAUCAGAUACCGUCGUAGUCUUAACCAUAAACUAUGCCGACUAGGGAUCGAAUGAUGUAAUUUUUUAAUGA
RNAcentral lists this ribosomal RNA (501 nucleotides) under uncultured Glomeraceae. RNAcentral's name for it is "SSU rRNA". It matches the Rfam family "Eukaryotic small subunit ribosomal RNA", at positions 569 to 1078 of the family's 1831-position model. Lineage: Eukaryota; Fungi; Glomeromycota; Glomeromycetes; Glomerales; Glomeraceae. The record is from RNAcentral.